UCGAACGAUGAACCUCCUUCGGGAGGGGAUUAGUGGCGAACGGGUGAGUAACACGUGGGCAAUCUGCCCUUCACUCUGGGACAAGCCCUGGAAACGGGGUCUAAUACCGGAUACGACUACCGACCGCAUGGUCUGGUGGUGGAAAGCUCCGGCGGUGAAGGAUGAGCCCGCGGCCUAUCAGCUUGUUGGUGGGGUGAUGGCCUACCAAGGCGACGACGGGUAGCCGGCCUGAGAGGGCGACCGGCCACACUGGGACUGAGACACGGCCCAGACUCCUACGGGAGGCAGCAGUGGGGAAUAUUGCACAAUGGGCGAAAGCCUGAUGCAGCGACGCCGCGUGAGGGAUGACGGCCUUCGGGUUGUAAACCUCUUUCAGCAGGGAAGAAGCGAGAGUGACGGUACCUGCAGAAGAAGCGCCGGCUAACUACGUGCCAGCAGCCGCGGUAAUACGUAGGGCGCAAGCGUUGUCCGGAAUUAUUGGGCGUAAAGAGCUCGUAGGCGGCUUGUCACGUCGGAUGUGAAAGCCCGGGGCUUAACCCCGGGUCUGCAUUCGAUACGGGCAGGCUAGAGUUCGGUAGGGGAGAUCGGAAUUCCUGGUGUAGCGGUGAAAUGCGCAGAUAUCAGGAGGAACACCGGUGGCGAAGGCGGAUCUCUGGGCCGAUACUGACGCUGAGGAGCGAAAGCGUGGGGAGCGAAACAGGAU
RNAcentral lists this ribosomal RNA (703 nucleotides) under Streptomyces sp. OB-150. Its description in RNAcentral is "bacterial SSU rRNA". It matches the Rfam family "Bacterial small subunit ribosomal RNA", at positions 62 to 778 of the family's 1533-position model. The record is from RNAcentral. Lineage: Bacteria; Bacillati; Actinomycetota; Actinomycetes; Kitasatosporales; Streptomycetaceae.